RNAcentral lists this transfer RNA (66 nucleotides) under Ptecticus tenebrifer. RNAcentral describes it as "tRNA-Glu". The record is from RNAcentral. Lineage: Eukaryota; Metazoa; Arthropoda; Insecta; Diptera; Stratiomyidae.
AUUUAUAUAGUUUAAUAAAAACUUUACAUUUUCAUUGUAAAAAUAAAGGACUUUCUUUUAUAAAUU